This 109-nucleotide ribosomal RNA is filed under the name Esox lucius (northern pike). The record is from RNAcentral. Lineage: Eukaryota; Metazoa; Chordata; Actinopteri; Esociformes; Esocidae.
GCUUACGGCCACACCUCCCUGAGCACGUCUGAUCUCGGAAGCUAAGCAGAGUCGGGCCCGGUUAGUACUUGGAUGGGAGACCGCCUGGGAAUACCAGGUGCUGUAAGCC